AGGGCACCACCAGGAGUGGAGCCUGCGGCUUAAUUUGACUCAACACGGGAAAACUCACCCGGCCCGGACACCGUAAGGAUUGACAGACUGAGAGCUCUUUCUUAAUUCGGUGGGUGGUGGUGCAUGGCCGUUCUUAGUUGGUGGAGCGAUUUGUCUGGUUAAUUCCGAUAACGAACGAGACUCUGGCCUAUUAAAUAGUCGGUAUAUCCAGAAAAGUUUACCGUACUUCUUAGAGGGACAAACGGCGUCUAGCCGCGUGAAAUAGAGCAAUAACUUGUCUGUGAUGCCCUUAGAUGUCCGGGGCUGCACGCGCGCUACACUGAAAGAAUCAGUAUGCGCUUUAGCCUAGUCCGGAAGGAUUGGGUAACCCGAGCAAAUUCUUUCGUGCUUGGGAUAGGGAAUUGCAAUUAUUUCCCUUAAACGAGGAAUUCCCAGUAAAUGCGGGUCAUAAGCUCGCGUUGAUUACGUCCCUGCCCUUUGUACACACCGCCCGUCGCUACUACCGAUUGGAUGACUUAG
RNAcentral lists this ribosomal RNA (519 nucleotides) under uncultured eukaryote. RNAcentral's name for it is "SSU rRNA". It matches the Rfam family "Eukaryotic small subunit ribosomal RNA", at positions 1161 to 1701 of the family's 1831-position model. The record is from RNAcentral.